GUCUUUUACAAAGAGUUGAGUGACACAUGAGCUUGAAAAUUUAUCAUACGGAAAUGACCUUGUGCAAACCGGGAGUAGCUAUUUUUGCACAAAACAAGGAAAUACAUAGAAACUUUAUAUUUUUAGAAUCAGCAUGCAAAAACCUGUAAUAGAUACCUGAAGUCACCUUAUGUUAACAGGAAGUAGCUAAUUAUCUCCAAGUACUAGUAUAUAGAAACCAAAUAUUUUCGGAAUCAGUGUAAAAUAAGCUAUCUUAUGACACCAG
This 265-nucleotide long non-coding RNA is filed under the name Mytilus galloprovincialis (Mediterranean mussel). Lineage: Eukaryota; Metazoa; Mollusca; Bivalvia; Mytilida; Mytilidae. The record is from RNAcentral.